AACGAACGCUGGCGGCAGGCCUAACACAUGCAAGUCGAGCGCGCCUUCGGGUGAGCGGCGGACGGGUUAGUAACGCGUGGGAACGUGCCCUUCUCUACGGAAUAGCCUCUGGAAACGGAGAGUAAUACCGUAUACGCCCUUUGGGGGAAAGAUUUAUCGGAGAAGGAUCGGCCCGCGUUAGAUUAGGUAGUUGGUGGGGUAACGGCCUACCAAGCCUACGAUCUAUAGCUGGUUUUAGAGGAUGAUCAGCAACACUGGGACUGAGACACGGCCCAGACUCCUACGGGAGGCAGCAGUGGGGAAUCUUAGACAAUGGGGGCAACCCUGAUCUAGCCAUGCCGCGUGAGUGAUGAAGGCCUUAGGGUCGUAAAGCUCUUUCAGCUGGGAAGAUAAUGACGGUACCAGCAGAAGAAGCCCCGGCUAACUCCGUGCCAGCCGCCGCGGUAAAC
This 449-nucleotide ribosomal RNA is filed under the name uncultured bacterium. Its description in RNAcentral is "bacterial SSU rRNA". It matches the Rfam family "Bacterial small subunit ribosomal RNA", at positions 29 to 525 of the family's 1533-position model. The record is from RNAcentral.